Long non-coding RNA from Branchiostoma floridae (Florida lancelet), 554 nucleotides. RefSeq lists it as uncharacterized. The transcript is spliced from 3 exons. NCBI's taxonomy places the organism in Eukaryota, Metazoa, Chordata, Leptocardii, Amphioxiformes, Branchiostomatidae. The record is from RefSeq and is a predicted model, not a curated record.
UCUUGCUGUAUUGGAUGCUAAAAGGUCAACUUCCGACCAUGGGGUCAACAUCCUAAAGGCCACAGAGAUACUACGAUCUGAUUGGACCGUCGGAUACGCAUGCGCACUAUGCGGGCGGGACGAUUAGAAAAAAGUCGUUACAGAAAUGAGAUCGGACAUGACUACGAGGUUUUACGUAUCGCUUUCUACGCUAAAAAUGGCACAAGGAGUCUGCUAUGGUCGGCCAGCAAUUUGGGAGAGGCUUGUGAGUGUUGGGGGAAUAUGGUGUAAGCUUAAACGGACGGAAAAUGAUCGUGACUGAUGUUUUUGGAUGUACGUUUGGCGGCCGCCCCCCUCCCACCCUGGGCGGCGCACCCCUAACAGGAUUACCAACGUGUACUUCGUACAGCUGCAGUAGAUACCUCCUUCAGACAUGCAGCACAAGUUGUGAGGGUGGAUAGCCAGUCCUGAGUAAAGCAAGCAUCAGCCAGAAGUUUAGCUGCUGACUACUUCAAUGCUGCUACACACUCCAUAGGAACUGGCUCAUCACACAAAGGACUCCAAACUCCUGCUGG